CCAGUUGUGGAUUGAGGAGGGAGUACCUUUCAGCAACCCCUUCUUGCCAAACUGGGGAGAAAAAUACCACCAGUCCUUUGCUGAGGGGUGGCGCUUGAAGGUGUAAAAAUACCUAAAUAAAGAGAGAGAUGGCUGAACUUCAACUACGUGGCAAAGGGAGAGGAACCCUAUCAAAAACCUAAAGGAAUUCGGCACGACUGAAGCUAAAGAAAUGUCUAAAAAA
This 223-nucleotide long non-coding RNA is filed under the name Elaeis guineensis (African oil palm). RNAcentral's name for it is "long non-coding RNA (EGUI_LNC058315)". The record is from RNAcentral. Lineage: Eukaryota; Viridiplantae; Streptophyta; Magnoliopsida; Arecales; Arecaceae.